Molecule: long non-coding RNA, 3392 nt
Organism: Salvelinus namaycush (lake trout)
Lineage: Eukaryota; Metazoa; Chordata; Actinopteri; Salmoniformes; Salmonidae
Exons: 4
Source: RefSeq, a predicted model, not a curated record
GUUACCGCGGACUGCCGAGGCACGGAGCAGUCUGGCUGUAAUGGGGGGCCUGGCCCCGGGCCAACAACCGUCAGAAUUAGCUAAUUGUUAUACAAUAUAGCUAGGUAGCUAGUUAAAGACGGUGGCAGUCUGGUUAAGGCAGUCUUGUAUGGGGUUCUCUCCCCGCAAGUUUGCAUGCCAUUUUAUACCUACGCGAAUGCAACACUGUUGCAGUAAAAUUGGAACUUCAGCAGCGCGAGCUAGCCCAGCCCCCGCUAGCGAACGAGAAUUUGCUAGUGGAACGGGGCUUCAGUCCAGUCCCACACUUGCCCAGCUGCCAAACUAUGCAUGCAGUAGCAAAGCUGAUUUGGCAGAUAAUCAAGGUAUCAGCUUAACCCUCAAACUGAAGUAAACACAGGCUAUGAUGAAUCCCCUGAGAGAAGACUGCAAGUCACUGCCAGUCAGACAAAAGGGGAGCAGCAACGAAACAACUCACCAUUCCUUCCCUUCCUUCCUGGGAGAAACACCACACUCUCACCGUAAAGAACAAAUGGAAAAAUGAAUUAUGUAUAUUUUAGUUUCAUAUUUUUUUGUAAACAUGUCUAACUUGUUUUUUUUUUUGUAGUAUGUGGGGGGAUAUAGAUGAGAUCAUGAUGACUCUGAAGUUUCAUACCUUCUCUGUCUUAUCUGUGAUUUAUUAACAUGUUCGAUAUACAGUAGCCUGUAAGGGACUCUAAGCCUUGACGAUGUUUGUAUUUCGGGAAGGAGAGGAAAAGACACAAAGAAAUUUAAUAACACCGAUACCUGGCCGAAUUGAGCAGAGUCUCCUACAUCUGAGACCUAGCCUGGUUCCUAGAUCUGUUUGUGCUGUCUUCCAUGACAUCGGCAAGCUGGCACAAACAGAUCUGGAACCAGGCUAGCAAAGACCCAACGUCUGCGUUUUCAAACUCUACAGGUGGGCCCUUUUUUGGGCUGAGUACAGUAACUGACAGGCAGCAGCAUGUCAUCCACUCUUCCACAGAACACAGUUCAAACAGCAGCUGGAUCCUCUUUGCAUGUUUUAACACUCAUUCAGUUCUAUCUGCUCUGUUCACCUCACACACUCAUCAGCAUUGAUCUCUGCUUAAUUAACACAGUAUGUAGUUAGGCCUAGACUUAUAUCAUUGCCUGUACAAACACACUUAAAAAAAAAAAGAUCUAAUCAAAUGUUUAUUUGUGACAUGCUUCAUGAACUGCAGGUGUAGACUAACAGUGAAAUUCUUUCUGAGUCUUUUUCGAACAAUUCAGAGUUUAACUCUUGAAGGGGAGUGGUUCCACCUCGAAGCAUAACCAUUCAAACAUUGGGUUUGGUAUUUAACCUCUAAUAGUCCUAAUCCUUCAGCUCUUUAGGUGAUUCACACCCUUCAGCUCUUUAGGUGAUUCACACCCUUCAGCUCUUUAGGUGAUUCACACCCUUCAGCUCUUUAGGUGAUUCACACCCUUCAGCUCUUAAAUUCAUCUCUCUAUGCUCAUUCUCAAAACUCAAAUAUUUACAUGCUCUAAAGUAUUUACUGAGGCUAAGAGUCCCGCCCUUUUUCCAUUUUAGACUACUAAAUGCUUUGUAGUUCAUUCUUUUUUGUUUUUAAAUGUUUCUUAUUUUUUAUGUAGAAUUUUAGGUUUCGAAUGUUUACGUUGCUAGCUAGUAUAAAACCACGUGUAGACACAGUCAUGUACGCUGUGAUGUAUAGAAGUAGAUAUAGUAGAAAUGCAUUGUUUCCUUGUGGUAAGUGAGUGAGAUGCUGCCACGGAACUGAGACACUGAUGAUUGGUGCUAUUUUGGACUUUAAUCUGCUCCUUGGAAAGGUAGCUGAGACGGGUUCUAUUUUUUACUUUCAUGUUCUAAUUAAGGAAGGGGUUGGUUCUUUGACGUCUGGUUGUUGUAACUUGGUCUGGAUUGGCUUUGUAUUUUCCCUGUCGUUUUCUGUGCGGCUUUCUCAUUGGAUUUAAGGAAAAUAUCAACUUUUUUCAUGGUAAUGUUUUACUAAGGGGGGGGGGGGAUUUAGGUGAGAAGAUUUGAGGAUACACCAUGUUGAUCGGAGCAAUCACAAAACUGCAAUCGUUAACACUAGUUACCCUUUAAAACUGAGAUGUGCAAUCAAAGGGAUACAUUGUAUCUGGUAGUACCCAGCACAAGUCACUUUUUAGAAAAUGUUUACAUUUUCUGUUCAUGUUCUGAUUGACAGACAAUCUUGAAACUAAGAGUGCGUUUUUCCCCUAACGUGUUUGUGUUUAACAGAUCUAAGAGAUUUUGCACACUUGUGAGUAAUGAAAUUGUCACAUAUAGACGGCACAGAAUGUUAAUGUCAGAUAUCCGUUUCAAGUUGUUCAGCAUAAGUAAACACUGAAACGUAAAGGUAAUUUUUUUUAGAAAAUGGCACUUGAGAGAACUUGAUAGUUAAAUUAUAAAAUGAAUGAACACACUUUAAUGUGUGUUAAGGCCCAGCCUGUUAGGGUUUGGGUUCAGGGUUUCAACUUUUCUUCACCAGCUGGAUAUGACUUAAUGCUAUAGUGAGUCAUGUGUGAUUUAUAUAAUGUUAACGUGAGACUGGAAUCACAUGAUGCAUAUAAUCUUGUUUUGGAAAACCAUUUUCCAAACAGGGCGCACAUGUAUCAUAAAGUGAUCUCAGUUUUAAAAAUAUAUAUUUUUCAUUGUCUAGUAAAUCAAUUGUUGACUGAGAACCUUUUUAUUAAACAAACUAAAACCCAAAAGCUUUUUAAUUUUAGCAAAACAUUUUUUUAGACAACUAGGGUUAUGGGCCUUGCUCAGGGGUACAUUGACAGAUUUUUCACCUAGUUGGCUCGGGGAUUCAAACCAGCAACCUUUCAGUUACUGGCCCAAUGCUCUUAACCACUAGGCUACCUGCCACCCUAGCUAGAGAUUUAAAACAUCGAAGUUAUGUCAGUAUUUGCAGUUUUGUCUUUGCUUCCCUUUUUUUAUAUUGUUAAAUAUUCUAAUAUGAUAAUAACCAACUUGAAAGCCCACGUUAGUUUUCUUUUUGUCUUCCAUUCUCCCUCGAUAUUGGGACCUAUUGAACCAGCAUGUUCUGGUCUUACUAAUUGCGUGCUCUCUUUUUGUCAUUGUGUUUUUUUUUGUAAAAAAAAAAAAUAUAUAUAUAUAUAUCCUCUUGCAUUUCUUUCCUCAUAGACUACUUAAUAUGAAUGCUGUUUUGUACAUAGCAAAGUGAAUAGCGUAGGCAGGAUGUGUUGAGUGAGGUAUUCAGUAUUUACCACUAAGGUUGAAAAAUAUACACUAUGCCAGCUUUGCAAAAUUAUUAUAACGAUGCACUUAACUUACUGUAUCCCAUGUACUUUCCUUUGGCAAUUUUAGAAGUAGUGCAAUAAAUAUGCAAGCUUGUCAUUUGGUGUUAUUUAAA